Molecule: ribosomal RNA, 275 nt
Filed under: uncultured Wickerhamiella
Lineage: Eukaryota; Fungi; Ascomycota; Dipodascomycetes; Dipodascales; Trichomonascaceae
Description: partial 26S ribosomal RNA
Rfam family: Eukaryotic large subunit ribosomal RNA
Source: RNAcentral
AAAGGAAUGCCACAGAGGGUGAUAGCCCCGUACGGUGUUGACUCGAUACAGAGUCCUAACAUGGAGUCGAGUUGUUUGGGAAUGCAGCUCAAAUGGGUGGUAUGCUCCAUCUAAGGCUAAAUAUUUGCGAGAGACCGAUAGCGAACAAGUACUGUGAAGGAAAGAUGAAAAGAACUUUGAAAAGAGAGUGAAAUAGUACGUGAAAUUGUUGAAAUGGAAGGGUAGGCCGCUAACCAUGUAGGACCGUGUUUGGGGGGAAGAUAAAUGCUGUAGAA